Molecule: transfer RNA, 74 nt
Filed under: Gemmatimonadaceae bacterium
Lineage: Bacteria; Pseudomonadati; Gemmatimonadota; Gemmatimonadia; Gemmatimonadales; Gemmatimonadaceae
Also listed under: 1 other name
Description: tRNA-Ile
Rfam family: tRNA
About the family: Transfer RNA (tRNA) molecules are approximately 80 nucleotides in length. Their secondary structure includes four short double-helical elements and three loops (D, anti-codon, and T loops). Further hydrogen bonds mediate the characteristic L-shaped molecular structure. tRNAs have two regions of fundamental functional importance: the anti-codon, which is responsible for specific mRNA codon recognition, and the 3' end, to which the tRNAs corresponding amino acid is attached (by aminoacyl-tRNA synthetases). tRNAs cope with the degeneracy of the genetic code in two manners: having more than one tRNA (with a specific anti-codon) for a particular amino acid; and 'wobble' base-pairing, i.e. permitting non-standard base-pairing at the 3rd anti-codon position.
Source: RNAcentral
GGGCCGUUAGCUCAGUUGGUUAGAGCAGUCGACUCAUAAUCGAUAGGUCGCUGGUUCGAGUCCAGCACGGCCCA